RNAcentral lists this ribosomal RNA (459 nucleotides) under uncultured bacterium. RNAcentral's name for it is "partial 16S ribosomal RNA". It matches the Rfam family "Bacterial small subunit ribosomal RNA", at positions 339 to 795 of the family's 1533-position model. The record is from RNAcentral.
CUACGGGGGGCAGCAGUGAGGAAUAUUGGUCAAUGGGCGCGAGCCUGAACCAGCCAUCCCGCGUGCAGGAUGACGGCCCUAUGGGUUGUAAACUGCUUUUCUAUGCCAAGAAACCCUGUUACGAGUAACAGGUUGCCGGUAGCAUAGGAAUAAGCAUCGGCUAACUCCGUGCCAGCAGCCGCGGUAAUACGGAGGAUGCAAGCGUUAUCCGGAUUCAUUGGGUUUAAAGGGUGCGCAGGUGGGCUUGUAAGUCAGUGGUGAAAUGCUGCCGCUUAACGGUAGAACUGCCAUUGAUACUGCGAGUCUUGAGUAUGGUUGAGGUAGGCGGAAUGUGUUGUGUAGCGGUGAAAUGCAUAGAUAUGACACAGAACGCCAAUUGCGAAGGCAGCUUACUAAGCCAUUACUGACGCUGAGGCACGAAAGCGUGGGGAGCGAACAGGAUUAGAUACCCUUGUAGUC